RNAcentral lists this ribosomal RNA (253 nucleotides) under uncultured bacterium. RNAcentral's name for it is "partial 16S ribosomal RNA". It matches the Rfam family "Bacterial small subunit ribosomal RNA", at positions 524 to 776 of the family's 1533-position model. The record is from RNAcentral.
UACAGAGGUCUCAAGCGUUGUUCGGAUUCAUUGGGCGUAAAGGGUGCGUAGGCGGCGCGGUAAGUCGGGUGUGAAAUCUCGGAGCUUAACUCCGAAACUGCAUUCGAUACUGCCGUGCUUGAGGACUGGAGAGGAGACUGGAAUUUACGGUGUAGCGGUGAAAUGCGUAGAGAUCCGGAAGAACACCGGUGGCGAAGGCGGCCUGCUGGGCAGUAGCUGACGCUGAUGCGCGACAGCGUGGGGAGCAAACAGG